This 476-nucleotide ribosomal RNA is filed under the name uncultured organism. RNAcentral describes it as "partial 16S ribosomal RNA". It matches the Rfam family "Bacterial small subunit ribosomal RNA", at positions 332 to 799 of the family's 1533-position model. The record is from RNAcentral.
UACACUCCUACGGGAGGCAGCAGUGGGGAAUAUUGCACAAUGGGCGCAAGCCUGAUGCAGCCAUGCCGCGUGUAUGAAGAAGGCCUUCGGGUUGUAAAGUACUUUCAGCGGGGAGGAAGGUGUUGAGGUUAAUAACCUCAGCAAUUGACGUUACCCGCAGAAGAAGCACCGGCUAACUCCGUGCCAGCAGCCGCGGUAAUACGGAGGGUGCAAGCGUUAAUCGGAAUUACUGGGCGUAAAGCGCACGCAGGCGGUCUGUCAAGUCGGAUGUGAAAUCCCCGGGCUCAACCUGGGAACUGCAUUCGAAACUGGCAGGCUAGAGUCUUGUAGAGGGGGGUAGAAUUCCAGGUGUAGCGGUGAAAUGCGUAGAGAUCUGGAGGAAUACCGGUGGCGAAGGCGGCCCCCUGGACAAAGACUGACGCUCAGGUGCGAAAGCGUGGGGAGCAAACAGGAUUAGAAACCCUAGUAGUCCCAUG